This 460-nucleotide ribosomal RNA is filed under the name uncultured bacterium. RNAcentral describes it as "partial 16S ribosomal RNA". It matches the Rfam family "Bacterial small subunit ribosomal RNA", at positions 338 to 795 of the family's 1533-position model. The record is from RNAcentral.
CCUACGGGAGGCAGCAGUGAGGAAUAUUGGUCAAUGGGCGCUAGCCUGAACCAGCCAAGUAGCGUGCAGGAUGACUGCCCUAUGGGUUGUAAACUUCUUUUAUAUGGGAAUAAAGUGCAGUAUGUAUACUGCUUUGCAUGUACCUUAUGAAUAAGGAUCGGCUAAGUCCGUGCCAGCAGCCGCGGUAAUACGGAGGAUCCGAGCGUUAUCCGGAUUUAUUGGGUUUAAAGGGAGCGUAGGCGGGUUGUUAAGUCAGUUGUGAAAGUUUGCGGCUCAACCGUAAAAUUGCAGUUGAUACUGGCAGCCUUGAGUACAGUAGAGGUAGGCGGAAUUCGUGGUGUAGCGGUGAAAUGCUUAGAUAUCACGAAGAACUCCGAUUGCGAAGGCAGCCUGCUGGACUGUAACUGACGCUGAUGCUCGAAAGUGUGGGUAUCAAACAGGAUUAGAUACCCCAGUAGUC